GUAAACGAUGAAUGCUAGGUGUAGCGGGUAUCGACCCCUGCUGUGCCGCAGUAAACACAAUAAGCAUUCCGCCUGGGGAGUACGGCCGCAAGGUUGAAACUCAAAGGAAUUGACGGGGGCCCGCACAAGCAGCGGAGCAUGUCGUUUAAUUCGAUGCAACGCGAAGAACCUUACCAGGUCUUGACAUCCAACUAAACUUGCGGAGACGCAAGGUCCCUUCGGGGGAGUUGAGACAGGUGGUGCAUGGUUGUCGUCAGCUCGUGUCGUGAGAUGUUGGGUUAAGUCCCGCAACGAGCGCAACCCUUAUGAUCAGUUACUAACGGGCAAAGCCGAGGACUCUGAUAAGACUGCCGGGGACAACUCGGAGGAAGGUGGGGACGACGUCAAAUCAUCAUGCCCCUUAUGACCUGGGCUACAGACGUGCUACAAUGGCGACUACAAAGAGGAGCGAGACCGUAAGGUUCAGCGGAUCUCAAAAAAGUCGUCCCAGUUCGGAC
This 497-nucleotide ribosomal RNA is filed under the name uncultured bacterium. Its description in RNAcentral is "bacterial SSU rRNA". It matches the Rfam family "Bacterial small subunit ribosomal RNA", at positions 802 to 1298 of the family's 1533-position model. The record is from RNAcentral.